UGCAGCCUACGGGGCGCAGCAGUGGGGAAUAUUGCACAAUGGGGGGAACCCUGAUGCAGCGACGCCGCGUGAGUGAAGAAGUAUUUCGGUAUGUAAAGCUCUAUCAGCAGGGAAGAAAAUGACGGUACCUGACUAAGAAGCCCCGGCUAACUACGUGCCAGCAGCCGCGGUAAUACGUAGGGGGCAAGCGUUAUCCGGAAUUACUGGGCGUAAAGGGCGCGUAGGUGGGCGCUUAAGUCAGGUGUGAAAACUCCGGGCUCAACCUGGAGACUGCACUUGAAACUGGUUGUCUUGAGGGCAGGAGG
RNAcentral lists this ribosomal RNA (305 nucleotides) under uncultured bacterium. RNAcentral's name for it is "bacterial SSU rRNA". It matches the Rfam family "Bacterial small subunit ribosomal RNA", at positions 332 to 655 of the family's 1533-position model. The record is from RNAcentral.